RNAcentral lists this ribosomal RNA (326 nucleotides) under Phaenoglyphis villosa. RNAcentral describes it as "partial 16S ribosomal RNA". The record is from RNAcentral. Lineage: Eukaryota; Metazoa; Arthropoda; Insecta; Hymenoptera; Figitidae.
GUCUAAUCUGCUCAAUGAAUAAUUUUAAAUAGCUGCAAUAUUUUAAUUGUACAAAGGUAGCAUAAUCAUUUGUCUUUUAAUUUAAGAAUAGAAUGAAAGAUUAAAUAAAAUAUUAACUAUAUUAAUUCAAUAAAAAUUUAAAUUUUAUUUUUAAGUAAAAAAUCUUAAAUUUAUUUAUUAGACGAUAAGACCCUAUAGAAUUUUAUAUUUAUUUUUAAUAUUAAUUUUUAUUAUUAUUAUUUUAAAAUAAAUAUUAUAUUGGGGGUAUAAAAAAAUUUAAUAAAUUUUUUUAUUAAAAUCUACAUUAUAAAUGAAAACUAAAAGAG